AGAAUCAACGCUGGCGGCGUGCCUAACACAUGCAAGUCGAACGAGAAAGGGACUUCGGUCCUGAGUAUAGUGGCGCACGGGUGAGUAACACGUGAAUAAUCUACCUCCGAGUGGGGAAUAACUGGAAGAAAUUUCAGCUAAUACCGCAUAACACUUACGAGUCAAAGCAGUAAUGCGCUUGGAGAGGAGUUCGCGGCAGAUUAGUUAGUUGGCGGGGUAAUGGCCCACCAAGACGAUGAUCUGUAUCCGGCCUGAGAGGGCGCACGGACACACUGGAACUGAAACACGGUCCAGACUCCUACGGGAGGCAGCAGUGGGGAAUUUUGCGCAAUGGGGGAAACCCUGACGCAGCAACGCCGCGUGGAGGAUGAAGUAUCUUGGUACGUAAACUCCUUUCGAUGGGGAAGAUAAUGACGGUACCCAUAGAAGAAGCCCCGGCUAACUUCGUGCCAGCAGCCGC
RNAcentral lists this ribosomal RNA (460 nucleotides) under uncultured bacterium. RNAcentral describes it as "SSU rRNA". It matches the Rfam family "Bacterial small subunit ribosomal RNA", at positions 26 to 518 of the family's 1533-position model. The record is from RNAcentral.